Lactuca sativa (garden lettuce) is the source of this 983-nucleotide long non-coding RNA. RefSeq lists it as uncharacterized. NCBI's taxonomy places the organism in Eukaryota, Viridiplantae, Streptophyta, Magnoliopsida, Asterales, Asteraceae. The record is from RefSeq and is a predicted model, not a curated record.
UAAGAGGUACAAGCUUUACUACAUUAUGUACAUUCAUUUUAUGCAUAGAAAAUCUUAUCCUGUAAACAAAAAGUAAAAUGAAAAUGUCAAAAAAUCAUCUUCAAAUUCGGAAUCGCUCAAAGAGCAGUUGAAUCGGUCAACAUAAGACUCCCCUUAAGAACUCCAUCAUCUGAUCCCCGCACCUAACUCUGAAUCUCGCCUCAUUCUCCACCGAAGAACAUAAAACAUAAAGUUGGUCUCCCGUACUCUCCCAUGGUGUCUCACUCAAAUUCGUUUCAUGGAAAACCCUAACCACAAAAUCUGAUAGCCUCUGCCAACCACCAUUUUUGCCUUGCUGCUAAACGGACUACCUUCCAUCGUCUGAUAAACUCAACACCACCACUCACCGUUUCUUUCUCUAUCUAUGUUCACCAUAGAAUCGAUGAAAGUCAUAAGGUUCUAUUGAUUUAUUUUUCAGAUCUUAAAAUGAAUAUCAAGAUUGGUUCCAGGGUCAGUAACAGAGGCGUCGGAGGGAGGUGGUGGCGGCGGUUGUAACGGUGACGAAGCUGGCGUAGAUGGUGUCGGCAACCACCAAGCUCCACCGACGUCAUCCCUUCCUUCAACCACAAGCGGCGUUACCAUUGUUAUUGCAUUCAAGCAUUGAUAAAUGUCAAGACCUCUAAGUCGUAGUUGUUUUUUGAACAUGAAUGAAGAUGCUAUCUGACUUCAUGUGUGUGUUUAUUGGGAUGAAAAUGGGAAAGAACGUGAAAGAAUAGGGCUGAUGGAAUGAAAAUCGGAGUGAUGAACAGGAACAAGAUCACUAACUUAUCUGGUGGUUCAUAUUGGGGAAUUGAUAAUUACCUCUAUAUGGAUUGUGUCUCUUGUUGAUAUAUACAACAAGAAAAAGAGAUGUUUAAAUAUAUACCAGUAUGUCAUAUUUAAAUCUCUUUACAUAUUUAAAAAUCAUUUCAUAAUUAUUUUAGUAAUUUAAGCAUUAUUAUUCA